UGCUGGGUACUCGAGUGGCGAACGGGUGAGUAACACGUGGGUGAUCUGCCCUGCACUCUGGGAUAAGCCUGGGAAACUGGGUCUAAUACCGGAUAUGACCAACUGUCGCAUGGUGGUUGGUGGAAAGCUUUUGCGGUGUGGGAUGGGCCCGCGGCCUAUCAGCUUGUUGGUGGGGUAAUGGCCUACCAAGGCGACGACGGGUAGCCGACCUGAGAGGGUGAUCGGCCACACUGGGACUGAGACACGGCCCAGACUCCUACGGGAGGCAGCAGUGGGGAAUAUUGCACAAUGGGCGCAAGCCUGAUGCAGCGACGCCGCGUGAGGGAUGACGGCCUUCGGGUUGUAAACCUCUUUCACCAGGGACGAAGCGUGAGUGACGGUACCUGGAGAAGAAGCACCGGCCAACUACGUGCCAGCAGCCGCGGUAAUACGUAGGGUGCGAGCGUUGUCCGGAAUUACUGGGCGUAAAGAGCUCGUAGGCGGUUUGUCGCGUCGUCUGUGAAAUUCUGCAACUCAAUUGCAGGCGUGCAGGCGAUACGGGCAGACUUGAGUACUACAGGGGAGACUGGAAUUCCUGGUGUA
This 582-nucleotide ribosomal RNA is filed under the name Gordonia hongkongensis. RNAcentral describes it as "bacterial SSU rRNA". It matches the Rfam family "Bacterial small subunit ribosomal RNA", at positions 81 to 677 of the family's 1533-position model. Lineage: Bacteria; Bacillati; Actinomycetota; Actinomycetes; Mycobacteriales; Gordoniaceae. The record is from RNAcentral.